Long non-coding RNA from Ictalurus punctatus (channel catfish), 3106 nucleotides. The record is from Ensembl. Lineage: Eukaryota; Metazoa; Chordata; Actinopteri; Siluriformes; Ictaluridae.
GUCCAUGCGGCGCUUGUUACCAGCGCCGGGGAGGAAGUUUCUGCCGGUAGGGAUUAUGCGCAGUUUCCUCAGCCCGGGAGCUUCGGCCUUGUCCCCUCCCACCGCCGAAAAAAGCAGCGAUUCCACAAAACGAGCAGGAGGGGGAAAGCGGUGCGCCACAAACUUAAACCUGCUCUUCUCGCCACCAGGCAGUGCCCGAAGGUUUCUCCUCGCACUUGCUUUUUAUAUAUUUCUAUAUUUUAAAAACAUAUCUCGAGCUCUGCUUGCGCACCACGGUACGUUUUUCAGUAGGAAACAUCCAACGUUUCGGCCAUGUUCGCAGCACCGUGGUACAGAAGUGCAUUGUAUUGGGACCCGAGUAAGGAAGGAGGGAGCGAGGGAGGAGGAGGAGGAGGAGGAGGAGGAGGAUGGUGGUGCUGGAGAAGCACACAGCUGCACGGCACACAGAAGCCGGUUUCCCAACCCUGACAGCAAGGGAGCGAGGGAACAAGGGGCCUCGCUUCAGCAGCUCCAUCCAGGAGAGAGAUGUUCUUUCUUUCUUUCUUUCUUUCUUUCUUUGUAUUUUUUAUUUUUUUUAAACCGCUCUGAAAUACAGAAUGGAUCAGGACGAGAAAGCGGAUUCUUUUCCCUUGUCCGUGGCUGGCUACUCUUAUCCACUACAUGCGACGAGCGGGCGUGCGUGCGAUACGUUUCCGGAGCCGUGCUACAUCAGGUAAGCUUUCCACCGUAAUCUCGUACACUACAGAUGAGCUGUCUAGCAGUAGAGCAUCACGAGGUGUCUUCUCGCACCCGGGCGUAAUCGCUCGACACGCGCCCGAGAGAAAAGACGAGUCUGUCGACGUGCUAGUUUAAGUUCUAACAGUUUCGUCCAGCUACUUUUGUCGUAAUUUGUCUCGUUUUUUUUUUCUUCCCUUUUCAAAAGAAUAAAAUGUUUCUUUUUCGAUUAGCGUCGGGAAUUUGUGACGUAGACAUUUGUGCGUUUGUUGUUUUUAUUUAGUUUGUUUUGCUGUCGUUGUUUUUUUUGGUUUUUUUUCGAGGACGAACCACUUGUCAUAAACCCGUAGAUCCGAUCUUGUGGCGAAUCUAGCAACCCAAGCUCGCUUCUGUGGGUCUCUGUCACUGUGGUGCAAUCAGCCAUUUUCUGCCCAGUUUAAUAGCAUUGGAGUAUUUAUGUUCCGUAGUGGGACGUUUUGGUUUCUCUUUAAAUUUAAUACCCGUCAUGAGGAAAGCUCAGCGGAACAGUACACGCCAUCCCCUUAAUCAUCAGAAAAUCCCCGGUAAAUCUUUUCUGUUUUUUAAACGCGUGUUGUGCUAUAUGUGUUAGUCGCUGUGAGCUUAUUUUUCCAUUUCAAGCUCCAGAUCUGAAGCGCCAGACUACGGAGCGGACCCUGGAUACGAGAAGAAACCGUGUGCAUCCAGGUUGAGGUAGUAGGUUGUAUGGUUUAGAAUUACACCAUGGGAGUUAACUGUACAACCUUCUAGCUUUCCUUGGAGUACACUCAUGUCGUCCAGCGAGACCUCGUCCUGAUGGAAACAUCCCGCAAACAAGGGGCUUUGCUGUAAAGACGUAUUUUUAGCCCACCUUUCCUCGAGAAAAAGCUCCGUUUGUUACACAGAGUUACGACUUUGCAGGGAAUUUGAAUUUGGGAGUCUGAGCGUGUGAUAUACAUUAAUUUCCUACAAGUGCUGGUGUAACAGCUUUUGAAUGUCAAGCGGUGGGUGCGUCUCACUUUCAAGUCAUGUGUGUGAUUAGUCUUUUAAUGAGUUUUCAUUUGUAGAAAGCUUUGCCUGUCCCUGAGGUUGGAUCUGACCAGAUGUUUCCCAUUUCCUCUCACUUUUACCUCCUGUUUCUUCACUUUCUGAUCGUAUACCGAAGCGAUUAGGGUCUAAUAAGACGCCGUCGCGCUUCUCAGUGAGAAGCCGUUGCAAACUAACUACAUUAAACUAACAUUAUGUUGCUCAGAACAGUUUUUGUGAUUGAACUUAAUUGUCUAAGUGUAGACCGUACGUACGUAUUGAAAGUACGUAUUUACUCUUUAGUAAACGGAUCGUUUAGGGUUCUUGGCUACGAUCUUGUCGAGUUGUCGAAUCUGAUUGGUCAGGAAUGAUCGUACGUUUCUAUAGUAACAGAUUUUUUUUAUUAUAAUUAUUUUUUUUAAUCAAAGAUCAACUUAUAACCAUUGAAGCUUUAUGUUAGGACAUGGUUAUUUAGCAUUCAUGGAAGGAGUCUCCAGUUUCAGCACUUUGUAACAGGCAGUUACAAGUACUACUAGAGUAGUGAGGAACGACUGUUUAUAACCGUCACGAUUCAAAGGUAGAGACGGAAGCAAGCGCAGAUUCUUAAACAUUUAUUAACAAACAAACAUACGAAACACUCUGCAACAAGGAAACGAAACACUGUGGCAGAGACAAAGGUAUAGUGAGACGAUAACGUGAGACAGAGUGGGCAUUGCAAACUGCGACUAUAUGCAAGGGUGCUAAUUACCAGGACCGUGAAUCAGGCACAGGUGGUCAUGUGACAGUGAAGCAGUGGCUGUUGGGAACUGUACUUCAGAGUUCCCUUACUGAUUUUAUGGGAAAAUACGUUCACACUACCCCGACUUGGAUUAUUUUCCUCUAAGCGCAUAUCUCAGUGUUUUAUUAUAUCAUAGAAAUCUCUGACGUCAAAUCGAAGGACAUGCCUAGAUUUCUAGUUCAAUCUUCUUUUAAUUGUCCUUAAAAAGUCUGAAAGGUUAGAACAGAGUGGGCGGAGUCUGUAGCUGUAGCAUUCUUAUGAUCGUAUCUCGCCCGUGAAAAUUCUUUCAACGUUCCCGCAAUGCGGAGCGAUUCGUGAUCAACCUCACGAGUAAGCCGGCGGAAACUCUGGCGGAACCCGCCGGCCUCGGGAGGUUCGCGUUGAACGCGGCCGUGCGUAUAAGCUACACGGCUAAGUCACGUAACGACAAAUGGCUUCACCGAGCCAGAUAAAUGAACCCAACAGUGGGUUUUUACGUUAAUGCCGAUGUUUAAUUAAGCAUCCUAAAUGCUCUUUCACCGUCGUGUGCACUCGAUAAGCGUUCGCCGCCUUCCUCGAAAUAAUUCACGAAUUCAAACGUAAAGUAUUACG